Lolium perenne is the source of this 294-nucleotide non-coding RNA. NCBI's taxonomy places the organism in Eukaryota, Viridiplantae, Streptophyta, Magnoliopsida, Poales, Poaceae. The record is from RefSeq and is a predicted model, not a curated record.
GCACGGCCAGGAUGUCGACCCACGUGUCUGGUACGCCUGGCAGGCACCAGUGCAUGCAGUCCUGGCCCCAGACCGCCACCGCGUCCUUCUUCCCGAGCCAAAUAGCGGGGUGGGCAUCGGCGCGGAACUCGCUCAUGUAGGUCAGGUUGAGCAGCUGGAUGUCCGUGUUCACUAGCGCUUCCUGGAUCGCCGAGUUCACUAGCCUCGCUUCUUUGUUCACUCCACCGAACCUUGGAUCAAACCAAGAGUCGAGCUGCAGAGUAUUUUAGGGAGUCAUGGCUGGGAAUAUUGAUA